This 351-nucleotide ribosomal RNA is filed under the name uncultured bacterium. RNAcentral's name for it is "partial 16S ribosomal RNA". It matches the Rfam family "Bacterial small subunit ribosomal RNA", at positions 338 to 703 of the family's 1533-position model. The record is from RNAcentral.
CCUACGGGUGGCUGCAGUGGGGAAUAUUGGGCAAUGGGCGCAAGCCUGACCCAGCAACGCCGCGUGAAGGAAGAAGGCUUUCGGGUUGGAAACUUCUUUUCUCAGGGACGAAGCAAGUGACGGUACCUGAGGAAUAAGCCACGGCUAACGACGGGCCAGCAGCCGCGGUAAUACGUAGGUGGCAAGCGUUAUCCGGAUUUACUGGGUGUAAAGGGCGUGUAGGCGGGAAAGGAAGUCAGAUGUGAAAACCACGGGCUCAACCUGUGGCCUGCAUUUGAAACUGUUUUUCUUGAGUACUGGCGCGGCAGCCGGCAUUCCUGGUGUAGCGGUUAACUGCGUAGAUAUUAGGAG